RNAcentral lists this ribosomal RNA (531 nucleotides) under uncultured Eurotium. RNAcentral describes it as "eukaryotic LSU rRNA". The stretch from base 151 to 304 matches the Rfam family "5.8S ribosomal RNA". Lineage: Eukaryota; Fungi; Ascomycota; Eurotiomycetes; Eurotiales; Aspergillaceae. The record is from RNAcentral.
AUCAUUACCGAGUGCGGGCCCUCUGGGUCCAACCUCCCAUCCGUGUCUAUCUGUACCCUGUUGCUUCGGCGUGGCCACGGCCCGCCGGAGACUAACAUUUGAACGCUGUCUGAAGUUUGCAGUCUGAGUUUUUAGUUAAACAAUCGUUAAAACUUUCAACAACGGAUCUCUUGGUUCCGGCAUCGAUGAAGAACGCAUCGAAAUGCGAUAAUUAAUGUGAAUUGCAGAAUUCAGUGAAUCAUCGAGUCUUUGAACGCACAUUGCGCCCCCUGGUAUUCCGGGGGGCAUGCCUGUCCGAGCGUCAUUGCUGCCCUCAAGCACGGCUUGUGUGUUGGGCUUCCGUCCCUGGCAACGGGGACGGGCCCAAAAGGCAGUGGCGGCACCAUGUCUGGUCCUCGAGCGUAUGGGGCUUUGUCACCCGCUCCCGUAGGUCCAGCUGGCAGCUAGCCUCGCAACCAAUCUUUUUAACCAGGUUGACCUCGGAUCAGGUAGGGAUACCCGCUGAACUUAAGCAUAUCAAUAAGCGGAGGA